GAUGAAGAACGCAGCGAAAUGCGAUAAGUAAUGCGAAUUGCAGAAUUUCCGUGAGUCAUCGAAUCUUUGAACGCACAUUGCGCCCAUUAGUAUUCUAGUGGGCAUGCCUGUUCGAGCGUCAUUUCAACCCUUAAGCCUCUGUUGCUUAGCGUUGGGAGCCUACCUACCCGGUAGAUCCUCAAAGUUAGCUGGCAGGGUCGAGGUUCGCCCUAAGCGUAGUAGUUCUUUCUCGCUUCUGCGGCUGCCUAGGCCAUCGCCACAAGCCUUUUAAACUUCAAUGGUUGACCUCGGAUCAGGUAGGAAUACCCGCUGAACUUAAGCAUAUCAAUAAGCGGAGGA
RNAcentral lists this unclassified non-coding RNA (339 nucleotides) under soil metagenome. RNAcentral describes it as "partial contains 5.8S ribosomal RNA, internal transcribed spacer 2, and large subunit ribosomal RNA". The stretch from base 1 to 121 matches the Rfam family "5.8S ribosomal RNA", at positions 35 to 154 of the family's 154-position model. The record is from RNAcentral.